GAAGUGCUGCCCCCCCUCCCCUCGGCCGUUUCUUUUAUCUUUUUGUUUUUUGUGGUAGGGGGGAAUAGGCAUGGCCACGGUCCUGUUCUGUUCCGGAACCGGACCGUCUAAGCUGGAACCAAAACUGCUAUGAACUGGCUGACAGUACCAUCUUUGAACCGAACCAGAAUAGGUUGGUCCAAUCUGGUUCUGGAUCAAAACUGGAUUUUUCCCUUGGGGAAAAAAUUUCAAUCAUUAGAUGUAAUUAAAACCAAACUGGAACUGGGACCAAGGGGGUCCCUGCAGUCUGAUUCCCUUGAACCAAUGAACCGGAACCGCCAAUUUUGACCUGGACCAAACUAGCAGCCAUGCCUGGGUGGGAAGCAGUGUGGGUGAUGGCAUAAUUUAUUUUGUGUUGCCAAAAAAUUAUGGGCUUGUAAAGUUUUAUUUUAGAAGGCAUGUAUAAGCUGGUUAUCUUUAACUGGUGAAUUUCCUCAUCAUAGGAAAAUUAUAAUGAAGCAUUGU
RNAcentral lists this unclassified non-coding RNA (504 nucleotides) under Hevea brasiliensis (rubber tree). The record is from RNAcentral. Lineage: Eukaryota; Viridiplantae; Streptophyta; Magnoliopsida; Malpighiales; Euphorbiaceae.